This 351-nucleotide unclassified non-coding RNA is filed under the name soil metagenome. RNAcentral's name for it is "partial contains 5.8S ribosomal RNA, internal transcribed spacer 2, and large subunit ribosomal RNA". The stretch from base 1 to 120 matches the Rfam family "5.8S ribosomal RNA", at positions 35 to 154 of the family's 154-position model. The record is from RNAcentral.
GAUGAAGAACGUAGCGAAACGCGAUAUGUAAUGUGAAUUGCAGAAUUCAGUGAAUCAUCGAAUCUUUGAACGCACAUGGCGCCUUCCAGUAUCCUGGGAGGCAUGCCUGUCCGAGCGUCGUUUCAACCCUCGAGCCCCCGUGGCCCGGCGUUGGGGAUCUGCCACGGCAGGCCCCUAAAACCAGUGGCGGACCCGAAGGCCCUCUCCUUUGCGCAGUAGCAUCAGCCUCGCAUUGGGAUCCCUCGGCGUCCUACCUCUAAACCCCCCACAAGUCCGCUCCGGCGGCACCAAGGUUGACCUCGGAUCAGGUAGGAAUACCCGCUGAACUUAAGCAUAUCAAUAAGCGGAGGA